CGGGCGCCGCCGAUGCCCAGUGCAGCGGGUACCGCCGACGCACCGGGUACCACCGUGCCUGGCACCACCGAUGCACCGGGUACCACCGAUGCACUGGGUACCACCAAUGCAGCGGGCAUCACCGUGCCUGGCACCACCGAUGCACCGGGUACCACCAAUGCACUGGGUACCACCGAUGCACUGGGUACCACCGAUGCACUGGGCAUCACCAUGCUGGAAAUCACCGUGCCUGGCACCACCGAUGCACCAGGUACCACCGAUGCACUGGGUACUGCCGAUGCACUGGGUACUGCUGAUGCACCAGGUACCACCGAUGCACCAGGUACCACCGUGCUGGAAAUCACCGUGCCUGGCACCACCGAUGCACUGGGUACCACCGAUGCACCAGGUACCACCGUGCUGGAAAUCACCGUGCCUGGCACCACCAAUGCACCCGGUACCGCCGAUGCACCAGGUACCACCAAUGCACCGGGCACCACCAUGCUGGAAAUCCCUGUGCCAGGCACCACCGAUGCACCGGGUACCGCCGACGCACCGGGCAUCGCUGAUGCACCGGGUACCGCCGAUGCGCUGGGCACCGCCGUGCCGGGAACUGCCAACGCACCACCGUUGCACCGGGCAACUCCGUGCCCAGCAUCAGCGUGCUGGAUAUCACCGUCCCGGGCACUAGGGGUGUUGGGUGUCACCRUGCCGGGCUGGGGCACCGCUGUGGUGACGGGCACCAGCGCGCCGCGACGCUGAACCGGGCAGGGACACCACCGUGCUGGGUACCACCGAUGCACCGGGCAUCGCCGUGCCGGGCCGUGGCACCGCGGGUGCAGCGGGCAUCACCGUACUGGAAAUCACCGUGCCAGGCAGUGGCACCAUCACCAGCAAACUGGACACCAGCACCACGCCGGGCACCAGCACCGCRCCGGGCACCGCCRUGCCGUGUGCACCACCAUGCGCUGUGCAGCGCCGUGCCGUGCGCACCACCGUCCUGUGCACCACCAUGUGUGCACCACCGUGCCAUGUGC
Molecule: long non-coding RNA, 1016 nt
Filed under: Apteryx rowi (Okarito brown kiwi)
Lineage: Eukaryota; Metazoa; Chordata; Aves; Apterygiformes; Apterygidae
Description: lncRNA (ENSARWG00000007094.1)
Source: RNAcentral